RNAcentral lists this ribosomal RNA (606 nucleotides) under Triticum aestivum (bread wheat). RNAcentral describes it as "partial small subunit ribosomal RNA". Lineage: Eukaryota; Viridiplantae; Streptophyta; Magnoliopsida; Poales; Poaceae. The record is from RNAcentral.
AUGAAAUACAUAUCUGACCUACAAAGGCUCCGACAAGAAUAUCAAGUCGCCACUACACUCACUUACAAAGGGUAUUCCAUCGCACUUCCUAAGAUCGCAAGGACCCUUGUACACAUUGAUGUGUCCAACAAUGCAUUCCAUGGUAGCAUCCCCCAAGCUAUUGGGGAACUUGUUUUGCUCAACAUUCUCAACAUGUCACACAACUACUUGACUGAAGGAAUUCCACCCCAACUUGGUCGUUUGAAGAAAGUAGAGUCUUUGGAUUUAUUCUCGAACGAGCUUACGGGAGUGAUUCCACAAGAGCUAGCAUCUUUGGACUUCCUUGGGACACUAAACUUCUCCAACAAUAAGCUGGAGGGAAGAAUACCAGGAUCACCUCAUUUUCAGUCAUUUUCCAACAACUCGUUUCUGAGGAACGAUGGGUUAUGUGGACCUCCAUUAUCCAAAAAAUGCAGCAAUGAGACAACACCAUAUACCACGGUUGAUCGUUCGAAGGAAAACCCUGCGGACAUUGUGUUAUUUCUCUUUUCUGGAUUGGGAUUUGGUGUUGGGUUUGCAGUUGUAAUCAUAGGGACAUGGGUUCUUCCAAUUAGUAAGAGAAGUUGA